RNAcentral lists this non-coding RNA (248 nucleotides) under Desmospora sp. RNAcentral's name for it is "T-box sequence". It matches the Rfam family "T-box leader". From Rfam's summary of the family: Uncharged tRNA acts as the effector for transcription antitermination of genes in the T-box leader family. Lineage: Bacteria; Bacillati; Bacillota; Bacilli; Caryophanales; Thermoactinomycetaceae. The record is from RNAcentral.
AAACAUUCGCAGACGGGGAAGAGUAGCCCGCAAGCCCCCAUGACAGAGAGCCGGGACAGGUGAAAGCCGGUAUGGGAGCGAAGGGUGAAGAUGGCCCCUGAGAACCAGUCCCCAAGCCCGGUAAGGGUGUGUAAGGACGGGUGUUUCCGGCAUUAACGGACCAGUGUGAUCACUGAUGGAGGGCACCUGCCGUGAGGGGGUGCCGAAUGUUGGGUGGUAACGCGUGAGGAAAACCUCUCGCCCCAUGA